GACGAACGCUGGCGGCGUGCUUAACACGUGCAAGUCGAACGGAAAGGCCCUGCUUUUGUGGGGUGCUCGAGUGGCGAACGGGUGAGUAACACGUGAGUAACCUGCCCUUGACUUUGGGAUAACUUCAGGAAACUGGGGCUAAUACCGGAUAGGAGCUCCUGCUGCAUGGUGGGGGUUGGAAAGUUUCGGCGGUUGGGGAUGGACUCGCGGCUUAUCAGCUUGUUGGUGGGGUAGUGGCUUACCAAGGCUUUGACGGGUAGCCGGCCUGAGAGGGUGACCGGCCACAUUGGGACUGAGAUACGGCCCAGACUCCUACGGGAGGUAGCAGUGGGGAAUAUUGCACAAUGGGCGGAAGCCUGAUGCAGCAACGCCGCGUGCGGGAUGACGGCCUUCGGGUUGUAAACCGCUUUCGCCUGUGACGAAGCGUGAGUGACGGUAAUGGGUAAAGAAGCACCGGCUAACUACGUG
RNAcentral lists this ribosomal RNA (468 nucleotides) under uncultured bacterium. RNAcentral's name for it is "partial 16S ribosomal RNA". It matches the Rfam family "Bacterial small subunit ribosomal RNA", at positions 28 to 507 of the family's 1533-position model. The record is from RNAcentral.